This 351-nucleotide long non-coding RNA is filed under the name Elaeis guineensis (African oil palm). Its description in RNAcentral is "long non-coding RNA (EGUI_LNC059124)". The record is from RNAcentral. Lineage: Eukaryota; Viridiplantae; Streptophyta; Magnoliopsida; Arecales; Arecaceae.
UAUUUCAGAUAGUCCAAAAUAUUAAGUUUGAAAAGCUCUAUCAGGUAUGUCAAAGUUAAAUUUUUUGCAAGUUGGAGAAGUUUUUGAAGCCUUUUAAAAGUGUCAAACACAUUUAAAUUCAUUUAAGAGCAUUUGGUAGUAUUCUGGUAAGUUUCAGAUCUUAAAUAUAUGAAAAACUGGAUUGAAACAAAAUGAAGCAACCCAACUGGGUCAUCCCCUUUCAUUAGGUAGUCGGCAUGCUCUAUUUUUGACUUAUGGCACGCAGUGGAACGACCCAUGGGAUGACCCCUGAGACCCUGUGAUCAAAAUAGAGAGAGUAUUUUUUAGACUGACCAAAUGAGACGACCCAUG